Non-coding RNA from Triticum aestivum (bread wheat), 124 nucleotides. Lineage: Eukaryota; Viridiplantae; Streptophyta; Magnoliopsida; Poales; Poaceae. The record is from Rfam.
UAAAUACUCCAUCUGUUCCGAAUUACUUAUCACGGAAAUGGAUAAAAAUGAAUGUAUUUACAACUAAAAUAAUCUAGAUACAUCCAUUUUUACGAUAAGUAAUUCGGGACGGAUGGAGUAAUUC